This 793-nucleotide ribosomal RNA is filed under the name uncultured archaeon. RNAcentral's name for it is "bacterial SSU rRNA". It matches the Rfam family "Archaeal small subunit ribosomal RNA", at positions 55 to 853 of the family's 1478-position model. The record is from RNAcentral.
GAGUCAACGUAUGAAUAAUACGUGGCGAACGGCUCAGUAACACGUAGUCAACAUGCCCAAAGGACGUGGAUAACCUCGGGAAACUGAGGAUAAACCGCGAUAGGUCAUAAGUACUGGAAUGUUUUAUGGCUCAAAUCUACAUGGCCUCUGGAUUGGACUGCGGCCGAUCAGGCUGUUGGUGAGGUAAUGGCCCACCAAACCUGUUACCGGUACGGGCUCUGAGAGGAGGAGCCCGGAGAUGGGCACUGAGACAAGGGCCCAGGCCCUAUGGGGCGCAGCAGGCGCGAAACCUCUGCAAUAGGCGAAAGCUUGACAGGGUUACUCUGAGUGAUUCCCGCUAAGGGAAUCUUUUGGCAUCUCUAAAAACGAUGCAGAAUAAGGGGUGGGCAAGUCUGGUGUCAGCCGCCGCGGUAACACCAGCACCCCGAGUGGUCGGGACGAUUAUUGGGCCUAAAGCAUCCGUAGCCGGUCUUGCAAGUCUUCCGUUAAAUCCACCUGCUUAACAGAUGGGCUGCGGAAGAUACUACAAGACUAGGAGGCGGGAGAGGCAAGCGGUACUCAGUGGGUAGGGGUAAAAUCCUCUGAUCCAUUGAAGACCACCAGUGGCGAAGGCGGCUUGCCAGAACGCGCUCGACGGUGAGGGAUGAAAGCUGGGGGAGCAAACCGGAUUAGAUACCCGGGUAGUCCCAGCUGUAAACGAUGCAGACUCGGUGAUGGGCCGGCUUCAUGCCGGCUCAGUGCCGCAGGGAAGCCGUUAAGUCUGCCGCCUGGGGAGUACGGUCGCAAGACUGAA